UAAUACGGGGGGAGCAAGCGUUGUUCGGAUUUACUGGGCGUAGAGAGCGCGCAGGCGGCUGGUCAAGUCCGAUGUGAAAUCUCCCGGCUCAACUGGGAAACUGCAUCGGAAACUGAUCGGCUUGAAGGUGGGAGAGGGUAGUGGAAUUCCCGGUGUAGUGGUGAAAUGCGUAGAUAUCGGGAGGAACACCAGUGGCGAAGGCGACUACCUGGCCCAUUCUUGACGCUGAGGCGCGAAAGCUAGGGGAGCGAACGG
This 255-nucleotide ribosomal RNA is filed under the name uncultured prokaryote. Its description in RNAcentral is "partial 16S ribosomal RNA". It matches the Rfam family "Bacterial small subunit ribosomal RNA", at positions 521 to 775 of the family's 1533-position model. The record is from RNAcentral.